UGGCGAAACUAGGCACAGGACACAAGGCGUGUUGUGCUGCUCUUUGGUGCCGCAACUCGGGAAGGAACAGCGCAGCCAAAUUUUUCCGCUUCCCAGCGGACGAAAGGUGUGACGUAUGGCGGAAUUACGCCCAAAGAGCAGAUCUUGAGGGACUCGCACGGGAGCAAAUGUACAACGGCUACCGCCUCUGCUCGGACCACUUCGCUGAAAAUGCCUACGCCGACCCUGCCAAAACACGACUCCUGUGGACGGCUGUUCCCACUGCUGCAGUGGAAGUGGGGUCCCCGAUCGACGAGGGACCCUCCCGGGCAGAAGCCACAGAAGCCACGGCUGGUUCGGCUCAAGACCACCCUGCCGGCCAAAAGAGCGUCGUCC
Long non-coding RNA from Dermacentor silvarum, 375 nucleotides. RefSeq lists it as uncharacterized. The transcript has 3 exons. NCBI's taxonomy places the organism in Eukaryota, Metazoa, Arthropoda, Arachnida, Ixodida, Ixodidae. The record is from RefSeq and is a predicted model, not a curated record.